UGAACGCUGGCGGUAUGCUUAACACAUGCAAGUCGAACGGAAACGAUACUAGCUUGCUAGUAGGCGUCGAGUGGCGGACGGGUGAGUAACGCGUAGGAAUCUGCCUGAUAGUGGGGGAUAGCCCGAAGAAAUUCGGAUUAAUACCGCAUAAUCUAUUCGUAGUAAAGUGGGGGACUUUCGAGCCUCACGCUAUCAGAUGAGCCUGCGUAAGAUUAGCUUGUUGGUAGGGUAAAAGCCUACCAAGGCGACGAUCUUUAGCUGGUCUGAGAGGAUGAUCAGCCACAUCGGGACUGAGACACGGCCCGAACUCCUACGGGAGGCAGCAGUGGGGAAUAUUGGACAAUGGGGGCAACCCUGAUCCAGCAAUACCGCGUGUGUGAAGAAGGCCUGAGGGUUGUAAAGCACUUUCAAUUGUGAAGAAAAGUUAGCGGUUAAUAACCGUUAGCCUUGACGUUAACUUUAGAAGAAGCACCGGCUAACUCCGUGCCAGCAGCCGCGGUAAUACGGAGGGUGCAAGCGUUAAUCGGAAUUACUGGGCGUAAAGCGUGCGUAGGCGGUUUAUUAAGUCAGAUGUGAAAGCCCCGGGCUUAACCUGGGAACUGCAUUUGAAACUGGUCAACUAGAGUAUGGUAGAGGAAAGUGGAAUUUCUGGUGUAGCGGUGAAAUGCGUAGAUAUCAGAAGGAACAUCAAUGGCGAAGGCAGCUUUCUGGACCAAUACUGACGCUGAGGUACGAAAGCGUGGGUAGCAAACAGGAUUAGAUACCCUGGUAGUCCACGCCGUAAACGAUGAUAACUAGCCGUUGGGGGGAUUUACCCUUUAGUGGCGAAGCUAACGCGUUAAGUUAUCCGCCUGGGGAGUACGGCCGCAAGGUUAAAACUCAAAGGAAUUGACGGGGACCCGCACAAGCGGUGGAGCAUGUGGUUUAAUUCGAUGCAACGCGAAGAACCUUACCUGGUCUUGACAUCCUGCGAACUUUCUAGAAAUAGAUUGGUGCCUUCGGGAACGCAGUGACAGGUGCUGCAUGGCUGUCGUCAGCUCGUGUCGUGAGAUGUUGGGUUAAGUCCCGUAACGAGCGCAACCCCUAUCCUUAUUUGCCAGCACAUCAUGGUGGGAACUAUAAGGAGACUGCCGGUGAUAAACCGGAGGAAGGCGGGGACGACGUCAAGUCAUCAUGGCCCUUACGACCAGGGCUACACACGUGCUACAAUGGGAAGGACAAAGAGCCGCGAAGCCGCGAGGUGUAGCUAAUCUCAUAAACCUUUUCGUAGUCCGGAUUGGAGUCUGCAACUCGACUCCAUGAAGUCGGAAUCGCUAGUAAUCGUAGAUCAGAAUGCUACGGUGAAUACGUUCCCGGGUCUUGUACUCACCG
Molecule: ribosomal RNA, 1371 nt
Filed under: uncultured bacterium
Lineage: Bacteria
Description: 16S ribosomal RNA
Rfam family: Bacterial small subunit ribosomal RNA
Source: RNAcentral